This 67-nucleotide transfer RNA is filed under the name Marmota monax (woodchuck). RNAcentral's name for it is "tRNA.Ala". The record is from RNAcentral. Lineage: Eukaryota; Metazoa; Chordata; Mammalia; Rodentia; Sciuridae.
GAAUGUGGCUAAGUGGUGGAGUGCUUGUUUGGCAUGCCCAAGGCCCUGGGUUCAAUCCCCAGCAUCA